AAUAGAUACCCCGGUAGUCCACGCCGUAAACGUUGGGUACUAGAUGUGGCGUCCCGAUCAACGGAUGCCGUGCCGAAGCUAACGCAUUAAGUACCCCGCCUGGGGAGUACGGCCGCAAGGCUAAAACUCAAAGGAAUUGACGGGUCCCCGCACAAGCGGCGGAGCAUGCGGCUUAAUUCGAUGCAACCCGAAGAACCUUACCUGGACUUGACAUCAUGGGAAAAGCCGUAGAAAUACGGUGUCCGUAAGGGUCCAUGACAGGUGGUGCAUGGCUGUCGUCAGCUCGUGCCGUGAGAUGUUGGGUUAAGUCCCGCAACGAGCGCAACCCCUAUCUUUAGUUGCUAACGGGUGAUGCCGAGCACUCUAAAGAGACUGCCUCGGAAAUCGAGGAGGAAGUGGGGAUGACGUCAAGUCCUCAUGGCCUUUAUGUCCAGGGCUACACACGUGCUACAAUGGGCGGCACAAAGGGCUGCAAAGCCGCGAGGCAGAGCUAAUCCCAAAAACGUCCCAGUACGGAUUGCAGUCUGCAACUCGA
RNAcentral lists this ribosomal RNA (535 nucleotides) under uncultured bacterium. Its description in RNAcentral is "bacterial SSU rRNA". It matches the Rfam family "Bacterial small subunit ribosomal RNA", at positions 777 to 1315 of the family's 1533-position model. The record is from RNAcentral.